AUGGAGAACUGGCAUUUUGCCUCAGAUUGUGAAUUCCAAACUUCAGAGUUGUUUCCCAAAACCAAGAAAACCCCCUCUCAGCUUGAUGUCACAGCCUGAACCAGGCUUCUUCU
This 113-nucleotide microRNA precursor is filed under the name Cricetulus griseus (Chinese hamster). RNAcentral's name for it is "mir-498". Lineage: Eukaryota; Metazoa; Chordata; Mammalia; Rodentia; Cricetidae. The record is from RNAcentral.